RNAcentral lists this non-coding RNA (77 nucleotides) under Eubacterium sp. Its description in RNAcentral is "Fluoride sequence". It matches the Rfam family "Fluoride riboswitch aptamer (crcB RNA motif)". The record is from RNAcentral. Lineage: Bacteria; Bacillati; Bacillota; Clostridia; Eubacteriales; Eubacteriaceae. RNAcentral also lists the same sequence under 1 other name.
AUAGAACAAGGGAAUGAAGUACUCCCGAAGUGAAAAACACUUAAACCGCUUAUUAAGCUGAUGACUUCUGCGAUGAA